This 378-nucleotide ribosomal RNA is filed under the name uncultured organism. RNAcentral's name for it is "partial 16S ribosomal RNA". It matches the Rfam family "Bacterial small subunit ribosomal RNA", at positions 527 to 897 of the family's 1533-position model. The record is from RNAcentral.
GUAGGUGGCAAGCGUUGUCCGGGAAUUAUUGGGGCGUAAAGCGCGCGCAGGUGGUUCUUUAAGUCUGAUGUGAAAGCCCCCGGGCUCAACCGGGGGAGGGGUCAUUGGAAACUGGGGAACUUGAGUGCAGGAGAGGAAAGUGGAAUUCCACGUGUAGCGGUGAAAUGCGUAGAUAUGUGGAGGAACACCAGUGGCGAAGGCGACUUUCUGGCCUGUAACUGACACUGAGGCGCGAAAGCGUGGGGAGCAAACAGGAUUAGAUACCCUGGUAGUCCACGCCGUAAACGAUGAGUGCUAAGUGUUGGGGGGUUUCCGCCCAUCAGUGCUGCAGCUAACGCAUUAAGCACUCCGCCUGGGGAGUACGGUCGCAAAGACUGA